RNAcentral lists this ribosomal RNA (267 nucleotides) under uncultured bacterium. Its description in RNAcentral is "partial 16S ribosomal RNA". It matches the Rfam family "Bacterial small subunit ribosomal RNA", at positions 120 to 390 of the family's 1533-position model. The record is from RNAcentral.
AAAAAAAAAAAAAUUUAUAAGGAAUAGCCUCGUGAAACUGAGAGUAAUAACGGAUACGACCUUUGGGGGAAAGAUUUAUCGGAAAAGGAUCGGCCCGCGUUGGAUGAGGUAGUUGGUGGGGUAAUGGCCUACCAAGCCGACGAUACAUAGCUGGGUUGAGAGGAUGAUCAGCAACACUGGGCUGGAGACACGGACCAGACUAUUACGGCAUUAAGCAGUGGGGAAGAUGAUCAAAGGCGGGCAACUCUGAUUUAUUCUUUUUUUUUG